Molecule: long non-coding RNA, 256 nt
Filed under: Elaeis guineensis (African oil palm)
Lineage: Eukaryota; Viridiplantae; Streptophyta; Magnoliopsida; Arecales; Arecaceae
Description: long non-coding RNA (EGUI_LNC002143)
Source: RNAcentral
UUCAUGAAUCUGAGGCAUCAUAAUAAUUAUCUCAAUACUAUCUCCCUACUCUUGAGUCUGAGACAAUGCCUCAGAUGAAAGGAGUAUUGUUAAGGUAAUGCCUUUGGCUGUACGUUGUUUGUAUUUUUAUCCUUCUUCCGAAGAGGCUAUGUAUGCCGGCGGUAAGCUUGUGCCUAUGGUAUCUAGGGCUCUUCAGUGGUGUUCCAAGGGUCUGAUUAGUUAUCCUUCUGAAGAUUUCUUAAGAGUCUCCCUUCGC